GUGGCGGAAGGGCGAGUAAUGCAUAGAUAACCUACCCUCGAGAUGGGAAUAACCAUCCGAAAGGAUGGCUAAUACCCAAUAAGACCACGGGGCGCAUGUCCUGUGCUCAAAGAUGGGGACCCGCAAGGGCCUUUCGCUCGGGGAGGGGUUUAUGUCCUAUCAGCUAGUUGGUGAGGUAAAAGCUUACCAAGGCGAUGACGGGUAGCCGACCUGAGAGGGUGACCGGCCGCUCUGGGACUGAGACACUGCCCAGACUCCUACGGGAGGCUGCAGUCGAGGAUCUUCCGCAAUGCGCGAAAGCGUGACGGAGCGACGCCGCGUGGGUGAUGAAGGCCUUCGGGUUGUAAAACCCUGUCGCCUGGGAAGAAUGGCGGGAGGUGAAUAGCCAUCUCGUCUGACGCUACCAGGAAAGG
RNAcentral lists this ribosomal RNA (413 nucleotides) under uncultured bacterium. RNAcentral describes it as "bacterial SSU rRNA". It matches the Rfam family "Bacterial small subunit ribosomal RNA", at positions 95 to 487 of the family's 1533-position model. The record is from RNAcentral.